RNAcentral lists this non-coding RNA (201 nucleotides) under Bacillota bacterium. RNAcentral's name for it is "6S RNA". It matches the Rfam family "6S / SsrS RNA". From Rfam's summary of the family: E. coli 6S RNA was the first non coding RNA to be sequenced, but its function was unknown until recently. It consists of 184 nucleotides that fold into an extended hairpin structure with a large single-stranded internal bulge. The 6S RNA specifically associates with RNA polymerase holoenzyme containing the sigma70 specificity factor. The record is from RNAcentral. Lineage: Bacteria; Bacillati; Bacillota. RNAcentral also lists the same sequence under 1 other name.
UGAACUCUGCGGAGUGCGUGAUGGUUGGCUAUAUAAACCCACGAAAGAAUAAACGGAAUCCGGGUUCUUCGCCUGUGAGCAGGCCUCCCGCUGCCUUUCUGCGGCGGAUGUUGGAAGCUCUGACGACGGGGACAGGGUGUACCGGCCUUGCCAUAAAGCAGGGUUUCUUAUUGCUGACCACACGGCUCAUGUGGAGUUUAU